This 460-nucleotide ribosomal RNA is filed under the name uncultured bacterium. Its description in RNAcentral is "partial 16S ribosomal RNA". It matches the Rfam family "Bacterial small subunit ribosomal RNA", at positions 338 to 795 of the family's 1533-position model. The record is from RNAcentral.
CCUACGGGAGGCAGCAGUGAGGAAUAUUGGUCAAUGGACGAGAGUCUGAAGCAGCGAAGUAGCGUGAGGGAUGACUGCCCUAUGGGUUGUAAGCUUCUUUUAUAGGGGAAUAAAACGAGGCACGUGUGCCUUUUUGCAUGUACUUUAUGAAUAAGGAUCGGCUAACUCCGUGCCAGCAGCCGCGGUAAUACGGAGGAUCCGAGCGUUAUCCGGAUUUAUUGGGUUUAAAGGGAGCGUAGAUGGGUUGUUAAGUCAGUUGUGAAAGUUUGCGGCUCAACCGUAAAAUUGCAAUUGAUACUGGCAGUCUUGAGUACAGUUGAGGUAAGCGGAAUUCGUGGUGUAGCGGUGAAAUGCUUAGAUAUCACGAAGAACCCCGAUUGCGAAGGCAGCUUACUAAACUGUGACUGACAUUGAUGCUCGAAAGUGUGGGUAUCAAACAGGAUUAGAUACCCGAGUAGUC